Molecule: unclassified non-coding RNA, 220 nt
Filed under: uncultured Russula
Lineage: Eukaryota; Fungi; Basidiomycota; Agaricomycetes; Russulales; Russulaceae
Description: sequence contains ITS2
Source: RNAcentral
ACAUCCUCAACCUUUCUUUGGUUUCUUGACCAAGGGAAGGCUUGGACUAUGGAGGUUUUUAUUUUUGCUGGCUUCCUUGGAAGCCAGCUCCUCCUAAAUGAAUUAGUAGGGUCUGCUUUGCCGAUCCUUGAUGUGAUAAGAUAUUUCUACAUCUUGGAUUGUGCACAAGUCAGUUUUGGAUUCUGCUUCUAACUGUCUUUGCAAAAGACAAUGUUGCGAA